Cyprinus carpio (common carp) is the source of this 833-nucleotide long non-coding RNA. RefSeq lists it as uncharacterized. The record is from RefSeq and is a predicted model, not a curated record. NCBI's taxonomy places the organism in Eukaryota, Metazoa, Chordata, Actinopteri, Cypriniformes, Cyprinidae. The transcript has 5 exons.
UAAACCCUAAUGUUGUCUUUACUUAAACAAUCAAGUAAUGUUGACUAAACAUUACUUAAAAUUUUGCAUUUUGGCCCUGUCACUUAAAAAUAUGAGUUAAUUUAACUUAUUUACCUUCAAAAUGCAUCAACUUAAGAUUUCAAGUGUUGUGAGCUCAAAAUCAUGAUUAAUCCUUUGGAGAAACUCAACGUCACUCUGUUCUUUCUUUAAUGUGAUUGGUCAUGCAAGGAAUUCUGCCUAACAACAAGAGAACAAAACCACUGAUUGGUGGAUUACAAAAUUCGUCCUUUUGACUUCGUCUGUUUGGUUGCUGACACAACAUUUCAAGACGGAAGUUUUUCUUCGUGUACUAUGUUGGGUGAUGUGAGAUAAGAAGAUGUGGAAAUGUUUGCAUGUUCAACAGAAUUACGGACAAAAAUCUAUAGCAGGGAUUCUAUGAAAACCUGGACAGACACAGUUCACGGUUCAUGGACCUUUUUAAAACCAGAAGGGGGACUCCUGGUCAGCACUUGUUGAAGGUUUUACAGCAAAUAGAGUCAGACCAGCCAACUGAGGUCUGAACCCUUGUUCUUCGAGGACUGCCUAUCAUGCUCGGAGAUGAAGACUCUUCUUUCUUCAAGUCAUGUCUAGUGUCUGAUCAUCGCAACACUAUCCUUGAUGUGCCAGUGGGGAUCUUAUUCGAGGACACUGAUCUUCAGCCCCCCAACUCCUUGCAUUUGACUUCUUCAAUUGGAAUAAUUCUUGAAGGCCAAGUGGUGAUGGACAAAAUGCAGGACCUCCCACAGGCAAUCGGUCUUCUCUUCGGUCUGAUUUAUGCACUAGACCUGAAUUAC